This 371-nucleotide ribosomal RNA is filed under the name Staphylococcus aureus. RNAcentral describes it as "partial 23S ribosomal RNA". It matches the Rfam family "Bacterial large subunit ribosomal RNA", at positions 296 to 669 of the family's 2925-position model. Lineage: Bacteria; Bacillati; Bacillota; Bacilli; Caryophanales; Staphylococcaceae. The record is from RNAcentral.
UAGGACACUCUAUACGGAGUUACAAAGGACGACAUUAGACGAAUCAUCUGGAAAGAUGAAUCAAAGAAGGUAAUAAUCCUGUAGUCGAAAAUGUUGUCUCUCUUGAGUGGAUCCUGAGUACGACGGAGCACGUGAAAUUCCGUCGGAAUCUGGGAGGACCAUCUCCUAAGGCUAAAUACUCUCUAGUGACCGAUAGUGAACCAGUACCGUGAGGGAAAGGUGAAAAGCACCCCGGAAGGGGAGUGAAAUAGAACCUGAAACCGUGUGCUUACAAGUAGUCAGAGCCCGUUAAUGGGUGAUGGCGUGCCUUUUGUAGAAUGAACCGGCGAGUUACGAUUUGAUGCAAGGUUAAGCAGUAAAUGUGGAGCCGU